Myodes glareolus (Bank vole) is the source of this 5659-nucleotide non-coding RNA. NCBI's taxonomy places the organism in Eukaryota, Metazoa, Chordata, Mammalia, Rodentia, Cricetidae. The record is from RefSeq and is a predicted model, not a curated record.
GCCAGAGCUGUUACACAAGCCUGAUCUUGAAAAACCAAACCAAGCACCAAAACCGAAAAACAACAACACAUACAUUUAUUACUUUAUGUCUUUGUACUUUGGGGUUUUUAUUGAAGACUUACUUUAUUUUGAAGUGAUCUGUAUCGUGUGGGAAUGUGCACAUGUGAGUGCCCCUGGAGGGCAGGAGAGGUUUCAGAUCCCCUAGUUGUGAGCCAACAUGGCUGCUGGCAAAUCACCUUGAGUCCUCUGCAUUGACACUCUGCUCUCUUAGCCACCGACCAUUCUCUAGCUUUCUAGAAUUUCUUAAUGUGCAUAAACUUCUUUCAUGAUCUUUCAACAUGUAAAGCUUCCCGUGAAAACCACGUGAGUGCCUCCUGAAGAAUGGGGUAAAUGGGAUCUAGUAGUAAAUAAACACAAUGAAGAUCUGUUCAUCUGUAAGAAAGGAUGAAAUCCUUUAGUUUGUGACAGCCUGAAUGGACCGGGGGUGCUGUCUUAAGUGAAAUAGGCCAAAUACAAAGGCACAAGCACUCCAUGAUUUCACCAAUAUGGAAUCCUAGAAUAAUCUUGUCUAGAACUCAACAGUAGACCAGUUGUUAGCGGAGGCUUGGGAGGGAGAACAAGUUCUCUUAAGAAUAGUGUUUCAUUGAAGGGAAUCAGUUAAGAGCCCUUGGUGCCCUGCAAGCAUAGGGCAGACAAUUCUCCCCUGUGAACACUCGUGUGUAGGUGUCCAUGUUCCCAAAUGAGUGUGCUUGGUUGGUAAGUAAUAUUGACCUUUCCCCUUUGCGUAUGCAUUUGUAUGACUCCUGGCAGGAUGUGCCUAUGUGAAUCGAGAUGCUAGCCCAAAUGAAAACAGUUUUUGUGGGAACUUGUUUUCCAGCAAGACAUACUGUGGCUGGUUCUUUCCUAGCCUUGGCCCAACUGGUAAAGUGCUAAGCAUUAUGGGCAAUGACUGAGCAUGUACAAUCUAAAAUGGGUGUGGUCUCAGAACUCAAGUGACGAUGCUGAGGCUUUGGGAGGAAACAACUGAGUCCAGCAGCCGUGAGCAAAUACCCUUAGCAUUGGAAUGUUUGCGGUUCAUCUUUAACUUCUGGUGGCAAAGGCUCUUUCGUUUUCUCUCUCUUCUGGCUCUCUGUAGCAGGACUGGGAUCCUUUGAACUCAGUAAGUUGUACGUUGGUGGAAGAGUCUCAGGAUGUCAGGGCACUUCCUGACACUAAGAGCAGGUGGGUGCUCAAACACAUAAAAGUGAAGUACUGUGUUUGCACUGCAAGCUAAUAAAGAUCAUUCCAGACACAUGGGUGACAUGAAUCUCUGCAGAGUGAGUCAUCCCCUCAUGGUCUCUGCUGAGUUUCCUUAGAUGUACUCACAGCACCUGCAUGCAGUUCAUUCUGCGCAUAUUUCCUGCACAUGGGGAGGGGUGAUGAAAAGCAAGCACACCAUUCAUCUAGGAGACAAAUGGACCCAGAGGAGAGGUGCAGGAGUCCUUGGAAGAGGCAGCCUUGUGCAAUCUGUCUCUUCAAGGUGCCUUUACCAACACAAGCAGACUGCCUCUUGGGAGCCACCUCCCCGGGUAUUCCCAGGAUCCACAGGACAUCGCUUCCACGGAACCAAGGGUGCUUCACGGCUUGUUCGCCUAUAGCAGGCCUCAUAGAUGCUCAGUAGGUAUAUACUGGAUAAAUAAAUGAUCUAGUGAGUUAAUGGACUUGAAAAUAUCCAAGCAGGACAAAGGGAAGCUGAAUGCCACUUCAUCUGUGCUCACUAAGAAUCUCCCUGGUGAGCGAGAAGCAGGAGAACACAGAUACAUAAUCUCUGGGGAGAAAGCCUGUACCACAGAGACUUCUGUUCAGGUCCCUGUGAGCAUUCUGUGAGGAAGAGCAUUCUCCCACGAAGGAGCUUCCCCAUAGAGAGGAAGUGAAACUUCCAAAGGAGAGGAAGUCAAUUUUGAUCUGCUGGGCCUGAUGCCAGAUAUUCUAGCCCAUUAACCAUGACAUGCAACAGGAGAGGCAUCCUAAGGUUCAUUCCGGACGACAUUGCCCUCCUUCUGUGGGUCAGCGGGUGUGACUAACUCAUGGCAACCCAGCCGGGCACAUGUAAAUCUCCUAACUCCUCAGAAGCUUGUGACAUGGGGGCCAUUAAUUCUUCCGCAGAUGAGCAAGGAGCACAAGUUUAUGGAUGAAACCCCCAUGGCUCAUCUGGCUCCAGAGUCUUGGAAAUGUUCCAAUUGUGGUUUGUAACAAUGUUAAAAUAAUUAGUUUUGUCUUAUAUUUUAUUACAAUUUAAAAUUCAAAAUGUCAAGUAUUAUUAAUGACAUGACUAUGGGAAAUAGUCUUUCUUGCUUUCUUUCUUUUGCUUUCUUUUUCAGUUCUCUUUGUGGUUAGAUUAUGUCCUGCUAAAGAUUUAAACUAGGUGACUAUAUUUUUUGUUGUUGCUUGUUUUUGUUGUGUGAGACAUGGUCUCAUGACCUUGUCUGUCCUGGAACUUUAUGUGUAGAUGAGGCUGGCCUCAAAUUCACAGAGAUCUUCCGGCCUCUGCCUCCCAAGUGGUGGGACCGAGAGUGUAUGGCUGCAUGUCUAGCAAGGGGACUGGAUUUUCAUAAGACACUUAACAUAAUCCCCCUCAGUGUCACAGGCUGCAAUCACAGGUUGACUUGUUUCAUUUUUGAAUUUUUACUUCUUCAAAAGAACACUUUUGCUUUGUAGUUAUGAAAAUAUGAAUAUGGUUCAGUGUUAAAUUCACAGAACAUGUUAUAGUCAGAAAAGACCAGUUUCUGUUCCAUUUCUCUCUUCUUCAAGUCUAUGCAAUUGUUAAAUAUGUUUUAAUUUAUCCUCUCACUAUCCUUUUAGUUGGGAGCAAGCAUUUAUAUCCUCACAGGCCACAAGCUUGUGUGCAUAUGUGUGCAUGCAUGUGUGCAACAGCAGAGGUCAGAAGACAGAAUCAGACUCCCUAGAGAGCUGGAGUUCUAGGCUGUUGUGAGUCAUCCAACAUGGGAGCUGAGAGCGGAACUUGGGGCCUGUGAAGGAACAGCCAGCACUCCUAGCCACUGAGCCAUCUCAUCAACUCCGACCCUCCGUCUUCUAAAGACAACCGCAUAACACACACAUUCCUUUUCUACUUUACUUUCUUCACUUCAUGUGCCCUGUAGCAUAAAGAAACAAUUUUAAUUGCUUUACUCUUCCAUUUGUUAGCUAGUCCUCUAGGGGUGCACGGAUGAGUUAAUUCCAGUGUUUUAAAAAAGCCAAACUUUCUGACUGUGAAAGAAAGAUUAAUGUGUAGUGAAUCUGGGCCAUUCAACAAAAGGAAGACUGAAAAGUAUGUGUUCAGCUUUGGCAAUAUGAAGACCUGGGACAUUUUAGCCAAGGACAAACUGUACCCACAGCAUCUGCCCAGCAGGCUGCAGCGCCUGGGUCAGUAAGAGAGGUGCAGUGGCGUGGCACAGACAGAUGCUUGGUGAAGGAAACGGGAUGCUGUCCUUAGUUUCCUCGCCGUGACAAAAAAGCCACUGGAGGAAGGAAAGGUCUGACUGGACUCACAGUGUAAGAGGGAUGCAGUUCAUCAUGGUGGGGGAUGGGCAUGUGGUGUGUGUGGCUGUACAUUUGCAUGUGUGGUAUGGAAGUGUCCUCAGAGACUGAAACAUUCCAUCCUGCAGGAAGCUUCUUAAGUAGGAAGGCAAACAACUCAAAACAGCUUCAAGAAGUCCCAGAAACUGACCAGAUUCACUAGCUCCCUUCCUGCCAGAGUAAGCAAUAAAAGCUUACUGUUACUCUCAGACAGAGAUGCCAAGAAGACUCUGAGACUAGACCAGCUGCCUGGAAGAAGCAGAAAGCAGGCCAGCUACCUGAAAGAGGUUUAGACCAACUGAGGAGCUGGGGAGGAUGCUCCCCAAGCGGCUGAGUGCCUGCAGGCUGUGCAGUGUGCUCCAGGUUCCCAGCUUUGUGAGUCAUCAUUCAUCUGGGACGGGCUUUUGUCAUAUAGCUGUCAUUGAACUAUUUCCUCAUAUAAGUAACGCUAUCAAAACUCACUGGCUCACCAAAUCAGACUUUAGUGGUAUCUGUACUUUGGUUUGUAGUGGAAUCCCUGACUGGGAUGAAUAGAUGUGUGUGUUAUGUCUCCCCAGGAAAAGCUUUAUCAUACAACAGUGUGCGGGGGGGGGGGGGGACAGAACAGGAAGUAAAUGGGAGUCUCAAGGUACACAGUAUAUUUUACUAUAAUGUUUUCUGUCUGUAGUUUUAUUAUGGAAGAUAUUGGAUCCAUGUUCAUUGUUUAUUCUCUAAUUUUUAGAUGUGGGAAGAAUGGCUGGGAAUGUGAGAUGAUCAUUUCUCAAAAGUUACCUUUCCCGGGGCAAUGAGAUGGCUCAGUGGAUAAAAGUGUUUACUGCAGCAUCUAAUGACCUGAGUUUGACCUUGGGAAGAACCUACGUGAUCAGAGAGAACAGACUCCAGCGCCUCCAUCUCUGACCUUCACAUACUUGCCACAGCACGGGAGCACCUUAAAUAAUAAUAAUAAAAAUGUUUUUUCCUGAAGUUCACAGGGUACCAUGAGAAGACUUCCCCUCGCCUAACUCCAGCCCUGCUGAAGUUCUCACUAAUUCCCCCACGGUGUCCGGCUGCUGGGAUCCUGCUGUUUGAAUCCACCGGUCUCAUCAGCCCCCACCAAAAGCGUUUGCUGCACUGGCCUACCUGAGUGCAAUGGCGAACACUGAUUGUGGACGCGGGAGAUAAUUUCCAGUGUUCAUCGGCCAAGGGUUUCUGGAUUGGGUUAGCUGAAGAGAGAGCACCUUGAGUGUGGGUGGCACCAUCCCACGGCAGGGUGCCAGUGACUGAGGGAGCAGGAGCGUGGGAGCUGAGCACCACCAUCAUGUCUCUGGGCUUACCCACGGCAGAUGUCACGUGACCAGCUGUCUCACACUCUGGCUGCCAGGCCUUCCUCACCUUCAUGGACUGCACCAUCAAAUGGUGAACAGCACCAACCUUCCCUCCCUUAUGUAGGUCUGUCAGUAUUUGACCGUCCUGAUGACAGAAGGAACUGGGAAGUGCGGCCGCUGCUCUCUGGAGGAGCCUGCCCAUCUAUGGUCUCUCUUGCGGCUUUACAUAAAACAGUCAAAUUUAACAGCCAUGGCUUUUGGGGGGCAAUCCAAUGUUUCGGUAGUUCUUAUUUUUCUGUUAAGGAUCCCGGAGCAGUAGCUCCAGCCCUUCCUUCCAUGCUGUGAUAACGUCCCAUCACACUUAGAAUAAGUCUGAAGUCCUGGUGAGGGCCCAGACAGGCUCCGGAGCUUGUUCAGGACCUGCUUUGUCCGCACCUCAGCUCAGAGGCCUCAGAGAAGCCUUUCCCACCACCUGCUAAAACAGACCCAUCUAGCCUCUGACAUCCCUAUUACUCAAGGUGACUUUUCUCGACACUUAAAUGACCACGUUUUACGCUAUGUCCUUUGCUCGUGUGUCCCCAGUGAUGACACAUCUGGUAGUCCAAACAGAAGCUUCUGUAUAUCACAGACAGUCCACGGCCACGAGCUGGGCUCAGCGUGCAGCAGGGAAUCCAGCAAAUGCCCACUAGAGAAACCUUUUUCUCUCUCUUAUAUAAUAACAUCCCUAUCUAUUCUUUCUUUAAUUUAAUAUCGAUGGCUAUUGUGGUGAUACAACUAUAAUAAAUUUAAAAUUCAAGUUU